RNAcentral lists this ribosomal RNA (504 nucleotides) under uncultured bacterium. Its description in RNAcentral is "partial 16S ribosomal RNA". It matches the Rfam family "Bacterial small subunit ribosomal RNA", at positions 28 to 523 of the family's 1533-position model. The record is from RNAcentral.
GAUGAACGCUAGCGGCAGGCUUAACACAUGCAAGUCGAGGGGCAGCAUAAAUAGUAGCAAUACUAUUGGUGGCGACCGGCGGACGGGUGCGUAACGCGUAUACAACCUUCCCUAAACAGGGGGAUAAUCUGGAGAAAUUCGGUCUAAUACCCCAUAACAUCAGAGCAGGCAUCUGUUUUGGUUAAAAUUUCCGGAGGUUUAGGAUGGGUAUGCGUAGCAUUAGCUAGUUGGUGAGGUAACGGCUCACCAAGGCGACGAUGCUUAGGGGGACUGAGAGGUUAAACCCCCACACUGGUACUGAGAAACGGACCAGACUCCUACGGGAGGCAGCAGUGAGGAAUAUUGGUCAAUGGGCGGAAGCCUGAACCAGCCAUGCCGCGUGCAGGAUGACGGCUCUAUGAGUUGUAAACUGCUUUUGUACGAGGGUAAAGUGGGCUACGUGUAGCCUUUUGAAAGUAUCGUACGAAUAAGGAUCGGCCAACUCCGUGCCAGCAGCCGCAGUAA